GUGUGCGUGGAAAAUGGCUGUCUCCUUUCCGUGGGGUGACGAUGAAAAACAUUUCCGUUCGUACGCACACUGUUUCGCGACUGAUACACUUUUCCUCUUCCUGCCGCCCGUUUUCCCGUUGGCCCCGCUCCCGGCCACGCUCGGUCCCGCGGGGAUGCUCUAGAAAUGGCGCGGCAGAAACCGGAGCAGCGUGAAUAUCCGGACGGCGGGGCAAAGGAUGGGUUACCGUUUGCACAGCGGCCAGCGGGCUGUGGGCAUGCCCUGAACAUGCCGGCUAGUGGCAGGCCCGCUUCGAGGAAUUGACAGUUUAUCGAUGGAAAAGACGCCAACCGCACUCGUAGUGACAAUUUUUACGGUGACAGAUUCGGUCGCGACAGGAAAAUCGACCACUAUACCCGGGGAAUGUGGAUAAAGAAGAGAGCCAAAGACAGAGCCAGUAGCAAAAAAGUAUAACCGAAGGUGUAUUUUAAAAUGGUUUAACACAUAACAAAUAUUCUAAAGUGUAGUCCAGUCUAGUCGCGAAGUGCAUGGCCGAGUUAUUCCGCUGAACCUGACGAAAGUUUUGACAGGCCUCAAAAUGUACGAGCAAAGUUGUGCAAAUUGUAUCGGGUUCUGUGGCAGAUGGCGCUUUCAUGUGUUUCCGGAAGUAGUCGGAACUCGUCCACGAUGGGUCGUUUAAAAAAAACUGGAACAGGAAGCGAUUGACUGGCUCAAUCGGGACAUAAAUUCCUCCAGCUACACCAUAAACCCUGGCCCUCGGGCCGUUUCCAAACCACCGGUAGAUUGAGAUAGUGCGACGGCCGUGUCUGUCCGUACCGAUCCGUGUUGAGAUGAUGCGCUGGCAAUCCCUCCCAGCUAGGGGCGCUUAUCAUCCGAUUCCGGGAACCAACCAGCACGUUGCAACGCGUCGUGAAAAAUGAAGCAUCGUAAAGCAACGGCAACGAUGACAAUGUCCCGGGACCGAAUCCGGCAUCCAGCGCGAUGCUACGGAGCCGUCGCUAUCUGCAGUCCCGGUUGGCAUUCGUAGUUGGCCAUGUUCUUGUUCUAUCUUCCACGCUUAUCAUUAUGCAUACACACCGCCAUCGACACACACACACGCACGGGAUGGUAAAUACUAAAUAGCGACAUCACCAUUACCUGGAUCGUGGUAUCUCGGCGAGGCAAGGAACGCUGGCAGACGCGGAUCGGUUUAAAGUCACCCCAUCCCGUUCAGGCUGUUCGGGAAUCUCGAAACGAACCAAAUUUAUUUGCUCACAGUCCGCACCGCACCACUACCCCAUGCUCCCUAGCCCACCACGAGCGACACAUUUGAAUAAGGAUAAGGUCAUCAUCGUUCGUCGGCCUUUUUUUCUGCCCUCUCGUUGGACUUUGCCGAUGACUCGCUUGCGUAGACAUGGCAGAAGUUGCUGGUAAUAUGAGAGGACGUGGCAAGGAACAGCUGCCCGUGGUGGCCAUUUUAUGAUGCGUGUGCGUGCGGUCGUGCGUGCAUUUCGAGAAUGUUUGAAGAUUGCCCUUGCCUUGCCCUUUCGGCGGGCAUCGGCGGGCAGACUGAUAAGAACACGGGAAUCAGAAUCAAAGCGAUUCCGUCAGGACCGCUUUGGGCUUCGGUAACUCAUGGACACACUUUAUGGCACAAUGGCCCGCAGAUGAUCAUGUAUGUGCAUGCGCAUGUGUGUGUGUGAUUGUGAUUGUGUAUGAGGGAAGCUAACGCAAACCGAAAUCGUUCUUUGUGCCGCGUGAAGCGAGAGAAAGGAAGCAGCGACGCCAUGACGCAGAUUGUCUUCUUUGCCCGGGCUGCUGUUGUUUACCGAAAGUAUCAUAUAGCGAUAAUACGUGCCUCGAUGCGGAAGGAAAGUACGCUAAGAUGUCGUUUCCCCAGCUGCUGCUACUGCGGCCGCAGAUUCAUCCCGACGGAUCCUCGGGGUUGGCAAACUUCUUUGUUCGCCAGGGUUGGACCAGAGCUGCGGUGAAGCUUACUCAUCAUCAUUCGGGCACACUAUCGAACCGUGUGCAGUGGGCUCCGUCGUAUGGAUGUCGGGGAUAAUAAUGGAGGACUGGGCGGAAACGGGUUCCCGAAUCGCCCUGCUGGGAGCCUUGCUUCCGGAUCAAACUUUUCAGCCUCAUCAGCCAUUUUGCGCGAGGGGCUUUUGCUGAGUCAAGCCGAACUCGCAGGGUGAAGAAAAGACGCCUCACAAGACGUCCAAUCGGAAGAUGCAAGCCUUGGACGUUCGUCGCAAGGUUGGAACGUAUCAGUGACGCGCUACGCCAAGUGAUGGAUUAAAUGUGCAAGCUUUGGUAAGCUUUGUUUGUGGCGCUCCAGGCGUAAAUGAAGGUAAACAUGUAUGACCGAUCGAAGUCUAGGGUGAUAAGAUGUGCCGUGAAGGAAUGGGCGCAUCCUGAAUGGCGCCACAAUGAAGUUUAUAGUCGAGGUGAAGGAUGACUAGGGAUGAGUAGCGUGAGGAUAUAAUAAGCAAUUUAAAGUCUAGAUUGAAAUUUUCACAUCAAACAUUGAAAGCUGGCACAUUUUUGCUAACCACUUCUAACCAUUGGUCUAAGACCUGCCUAAUAAGCAUUGGAUGACAAUUUUUGGCUAGUAAAAGGCACAGGGUCUUUGUUGGAAAUCUGUUUCGAAGUACAUGAAGCUCAAUUCAACCCCCAAGACUGUUAAAGCAGAAUAAAAACAAAUCUACUGGAAUAACUUUAUUUACACACCAAAACUUUUUAAACUUUUGAUGAGGGCUUUGAUGACGUCAACCAGUUUUUGGGUAUGCGAUUUGACGUUUGGAGCCUGAUAUGCUUCUGCUUUACAGUAUUUCCCUCUCAUCAGCUGCUUAAGGGCUGUUUAAACGCUGUAAAAGCUUAAAUAACUUCCUAUGAUAAGAUGGCUAGAUUGACCAAGCAAUUAAAAUUUGAUAGAGUUGCCAUAAAAUGUGAUGGUUUGUUACCGUAUCCCAUCCAUAUCGUGCUCUGCCACUCAUUUGAUUUACUUUUCCUUAACCCAGCGAUAAACUAAUCGAUUUGUGUUUUUAAAUCCACUUUCAAACAAUUAUCUUAUCAUUAGCAGAAAAAAUCGAAGCGCAAAGUUUUCUUCCUUCCAGUCCUUCAUUGUUUAUCGCUACCUUUUUUUUACGGUUGUGUUGUUUGAUUGAGUUGUAAGUGAUAAUGGGGUUGGUUUAUCAAAUCAAUCGCGUCCCGGUGUGGCGUGCCGCCAGUCUACCGCAAACAUAACAAUCGAUGUGUAUUUUGCUUUAUGUUAUAAAAUUAACCACACAGGUACACACAGGUCGGUGGCGUUUGCUUCUGCUAUGUUUUUGUGUUGCUUUCAUUCAGCUCCCGUUCAAUGGACGUCGGGUUUUGUUUUGAAGUCGAUGUAGCUUCUUUAUCAAUCAUCGCUUCCCCCAAACGUGAGCCACCGCCGUUUUUUUAAAGAUUGACUAAUUUUUUCCGAUCGAUAACUGACCGAGUUUGGCCUCUAUCAGUGGCGCGUGACGUUUGGUGGCCGGGGUUGUGAUUUUUUUACGCCUUCUCUAUCUCUUUUUCCUGGCGUUUUUGGCACGCGACAUGCGUACUUGCCGUCGUUAGGUUGGUGACCAACUUUAUCAGUAGCUAGUACGUAACGUGCGUAACCGCUUACCGACGGCAUUUGAAGUCCUUGUGUUUGGUUGGAAGGUAUAUUUAUUGAUAUGAUGAUAGCUUGAUCGGUUUGUGGAAGCGACACAACGGGAUAAUAUUCAGGAGGAUUGUAUUGGUAGAUCGAGUGUCCGUCCAUUAGCUUGGAUGCUAUGAAUCAGCACACACUAAACACGAUUAAUACUAACUGGCAAGAUUAUUCAAAUUUGUUGACACAAAUAAUUCGGAUAAAGGCAAGCUUUAAAGCUCGCUGUCUCUCGCAUCAUUAAGUAGCGUACUCAGGAGAUCUUUUGCUAUAUUAGCUAUGGCCCGCACCAUUACCGACCCACAGUUAGGGCCAAAUGAAUGGGGUACAGAUUUGGAAGGAAACCCACCAUUGCUUAGUUGUUUGUUUUCUCCAUUCCCGGCAUUCCGGCAAAUGUUUGUUUUCACAAAAAAUCAUCGUAUCAUUACAAUAAUCACAUAGCAUCCGACUUCCUUGCCGUCGAGAAAAAAACACACACACGCACACACAAAAACCCCACUCCGGAUUUUAAGGCCCGGUAAAGUGUCUGCUGCCACGAAACCGCGGACCGCUCCACGUAAACAAUCGGCGAACCUCAGGACCGCAGAGUUAGCCGGCUCGGGUUGGAGGAGGGAAGUGCUUUGGGGAAACAGGGGGGAACCCGAGCCACGACACGGGAGGUAAGUGAAAAUGUACAUAAAUCUCAUCGCAUCGCAUCGAGAAACCUCAUCUCACCUCCGAAAAAUCACAGCUAAUAAUUAAGAAAUAAACAUUGUUAAAGCUUAUCGGACAAACAGUGUCCCGGGCAUUCGGGGCUCUCGGGCGGGUUGGGCCGACGUAAUCGCAGAGAAGCAUGGGAAGAAUAAAAAUUGUUUGUCUAAAUAUUGUC
This is a long non-coding RNA of Anopheles stephensi (Asian malaria mosquito), 4523 nucleotides long. RefSeq lists it as uncharacterized. The transcript is spliced from 2 exons. The record is from RefSeq and is a predicted model, not a curated record. NCBI's taxonomy places the organism in Eukaryota, Metazoa, Arthropoda, Insecta, Diptera, Culicidae.